Molecule: transfer RNA, 82 nt
Filed under: Candidatus Microgenomates bacterium
Lineage: Bacteria; Candidatus Microgenomatota
Description: tRNA-Leu
Rfam family: tRNA
About the family: Transfer RNA (tRNA) molecules are approximately 80 nucleotides in length. Their secondary structure includes four short double-helical elements and three loops (D, anti-codon, and T loops).
Source: RNAcentral
GCCCAGGUGGCGGAAUUGGUAUACGCGCAUGGCUUAGGACCAUGUACCGAAAGGUUUGGAGGUUCGAGUCCUCUCCUGGGCA